CUCCCAGUCGGAAUGACGUCACAACCGGAAAUAGUCCCUAACAACCAACCGCGUGGGGGCUAAAUCGGUCGUUAAGCGCCAUCUCGCCAUGUGUUACAAUGAAGACGUGACCAAAAAGCUCUGCGAAAAAAAGUGAUUUUCAUAUAGUUCAAGAGUGAAAAUAGAGUUUGAAUAUGAGGAAGGUCUUCGUCCAGAUUCACUGAGCAGGUAUAGGGCAAAACUUGAUCUUUGUGGGCAUUAUAUUUGUCCUUACAAGCUUCCAGCAGAUGAGUGGAAAAUGAUCCCAAACAAUCGCCAGACGUGAUAUUUUCAUCUUUUUGGUCAGACCCCAAGGUUGCACUUACUGGAAGCCAUGGAAAACUAUCGUUCCCUGGAAGCUCACACCUUCUUCACAUCUUGUUGGGCCCAGACAGCAUACCAUGUUGUGACUCAGAGUGUAUGGAUACAAGUGCUCAUUUUUUUUUCAGUCCUACAUAUAUGUGUGUUUGAAUUUAAGUGGUCAACUUUUUUUCUCAGUCACACGUUGUGCAAUUGCAUACAAGCGCUCAGUUCUUUUCUCAGUCACACAUUAUGCAAUAUGUGUGUAUGAAUGAAAGUGCUCAGUUUUUUUCUCAGCCAUACAUUGUGCAAUCAAUAUAUUAAUAUAUAUGUGUACAUUAUUAAAAUAAGUGUUCAGUUUUUUCUCAGUGCAAUAAGUGUAUACAAAUGUAAGAGCUUUUUUUUCAUGGGAAACAUUUUCUGUACUGUAUAUCCGAUUGGAAAACAUAAUGCAGUAGCACAUUAUGCAAUGUCUGUUUACGGAUAUCAGUGCUCAUUUUUUCUAUUUUUCAUCAGAAAAUCAGCAUUUUAUUCAAGUAUAAUGCAAUCACACUGUGCAAAAUGUGUGUUAAGAUGUCAGUGCUCAGUGUUACAUUUUUAUUAGAGUAAAAUUGAAUCUGAUGGAUUUACUGUUGUUUCGUGUAUAUUAUCAAAACUUUGUUUGUUUGUUUGUUAAAUGAAGUAGUUUUAAUGAUAAAUAUUUUAUUCAUAUAUCCUUGGUGUAUCUCACGAUUUCCAUCCCGAAUAUAAAUCAUGUCCGGUAUGUUUGAAAUGUGCACUUGGCUUGCAUAUAUCCACGUAAGUAACUGGCGAGGAGAAGAUAGAAUAAAAACAAAUUUGAAAUAGGAACAAUUUG
Long non-coding RNA from Lingula anatina, 1174 nucleotides. NCBI's taxonomy places the organism in Eukaryota, Metazoa, Brachiopoda, Lingulata, Lingulida, Lingulidae. The record is from RefSeq and is a predicted model, not a curated record.